AGGCAGAACCCUCAUGACCAAAUCACCUCUGAAAGUUCUCAAGAAAUUGUAGAAUGUGCUGGACUGCAAAAUCCUGAGAUGGGGCUGUACUGGUGAGAACGAUCUGGGAUCUAUUCUUCUCUCCCUUAGAAGCAGAAUGUUCCUCCAGGUUUUAGCAGCAUGUCAUGUCGCCCCUGAUGUAUGUCACCCUUGGGUUUGCCCUUCAUGAUCCCUCAGCUGCAGUGCAAGUGGGGCACUCACAGUCAAGACUCCAACCACACUAAGCUGCUUUCCUCAGCCUUGGGAGACCAGCUCACAAUAAAUCCUAAGCCUCCGUUGUCCCUUGCUAUCUACUUAUAAGUAAUACAUCCACUUUGUGUAACUUGUACGCACUGGUGUUGUGUCUCACCAGAUUCACACGAGUUUGUAAUCAGUGCAUCGUGAAUCGAC
RNAcentral lists this long non-coding RNA (429 nucleotides) under Homo sapiens (human). RNAcentral describes it as "HSALNT0328707". The record is from RNAcentral. Lineage: Eukaryota; Metazoa; Chordata; Mammalia; Primates; Hominidae.